GCAGUCGACGGUGACGAGGGGCUUGCUCCUCUGAUCAGUGGCGAACGGGUGAGUAACACGUGAGUAACCUGCCCUUCACUCUGGGAUAACGCUGGGAAACCGGUGCUAAUACUGGAUAUGACCUGCUCGGGCAUCCGAUGUGGGUGGAAAGAUUUAUUGGUGGAGGAUGGACUCGCGGCCUAUCAGCUUGUUGGUGAGGUAAUGGCUCACCAAGGCGACGACGGGUAGCCGGCCUGAGAGGGCGAUCGGCCACACUGGGACUGAGACACGGCCCAGACUCCUACGGGAGGCAGCAGUGGGGAAUAUUGCACAAUGGGCGAAAGCCUGAUGCAGCGACGCCGCGUGAGGGAUGAAGGCCUUCGGGUUGUAAACCUCUUUCAGCAGGGAAGAAGCAGCCGGGUUUUCUUGGUUGUGACGGUACCUGCAGAAGAAGCACCGGCUAACUACGUGCCAGCAGCCGCGGUAAUACGUAGGGUGCAAGCGUUGUCCGGAAUUAUUGGGCGUAAAGAGCUUGUAGGCGGUUUGUCGCGUCUGCUGUGAAAUUUCGGGGCUCAACCCCGAACUUGCAGUGGGUACGGGCAGACUAGAGUGUGGUAGGGGAGACUGGAAUUCCUGGUGUAGCGGUGAAAUGCGCAGAUAUCAGGAGGAACACCGAUGGCGAAGGCAGGUCUCUGGGCCACUACUGACGCUGAGAAGCGAAAGCAUGGGGAGCGAACAGGAUUAGAUACCCUGGUAGAAUCACUAGUGAAUUC
RNAcentral lists this ribosomal RNA (752 nucleotides) under uncultured bacterium. Its description in RNAcentral is "bacterial SSU rRNA". It matches the Rfam family "Bacterial small subunit ribosomal RNA", at positions 57 to 809 of the family's 1533-position model. The record is from RNAcentral.